This is a long non-coding RNA of Micropterus dolomieu (smallmouth bass), 702 nucleotides long. RefSeq lists it as uncharacterized. The transcript is spliced from 3 exons. The record is from RefSeq and is a predicted model, not a curated record. Lineage: Eukaryota; Metazoa; Chordata; Actinopteri; Centrarchiformes; Centrarchidae.
CUGAAGCUCUUGGCAAGCGACGUUUAUCACCAUCCCAACCACCUGCUCCCAGCAAGAACCCACGUCCCACGGCAAAGAAAAGAAGCGCUAUGAAAAGAAGCAAAAUGAUUAAAUAUUGGCGUAGCUUUUGACCACUGGAGACAGCUCUUGCUCCAACAUCCCACAAACCCCUGCUCCUCUAAUAGGAAAUGCUACACACAGACCCAAAGCAUGCAGGCAGCUGAGGAAGACCAUGCGUGAAUGCUGAAACAGGAUCCUUUGUUUUCAACGAAAAACAGCUCAUGGGGAAUUUGCAUGGUAGGAAUUUUUUCACUUUACAAACACACAGGAACAAAAUCAUAGACAACUGCUUCAGUUAUUUCUUUAUCAGUAGACCUACCCGGGGUCAUAUUUGUCUGUGCUUUAGCUGCAGAAGAGCUGACAUAAAAAGGAUAACAGGGACCACAGAAGGAAAAUUUCUGGUAAGAUCUUGGACAGAGAGGACCCAAAUGCAGCACUCUGAGGGAAGGAGGUUUGAGGGAAAAAGGGUGAGAGGGACUGGAGUGGAGGGAGAGGAGGACAUCAAGGAGCCUGGGGGCCAGGGAGCUGGGGAACACUGGCGCCGAGGUAGCGAGGAGCGGUGGGAGGACAGGGAGGACGCCGUGGGGGAGGUCCGAGGAGGAGAGGGCCGGUGGAUGAGCCCAGCCAACUGAACAGAGGACG